Molecule: non-coding RNA, 601 nt
Organism: Chlorocebus sabaeus (green monkey)
Lineage: Eukaryota; Metazoa; Chordata; Mammalia; Primates; Cercopithecidae
Source: RefSeq, a predicted model, not a curated record
CCUACAUGACAGGGCUGUGAAAGAGCUGGGCAGGCCCAAAGUGGCUUGAGAAAGUAAAGGAAGGAUCCAGAUUUGGGCUCAGGGUCACAGAGUGGGGCCCAGGGGGAGUUCCUGCUGAGGGCAGGGUCUUUCCAGGCUCCAGUCUCCACCCCGAGCCAAAGGAGUGAGAGCCCAGGCUAUCAGCAUCUCCAGAUGAAGGCAGAAGGGAGAGGCUUAAACCCAAGUCACAGAUCUAGCAGUGGAGUCCGCCUGCCCAGCACCAUUUUGGAAGUGAGGAGCGCCUCUGCCCGGCCACCAUGCAACCCUCCAGGCCAAAUAAAACAUGGCAGCCGGCAGCUUUGGCCCUCCUCAGAGCGACCCCGAGAUACCCCGCUGUGCUGCUCCCGGCCCGGAGAUUUCCUACAGCUCUGCUCAGCACGGACAGCCCUCCUGCAGGCAGUGUAGGCCAGAAGUGAAGAACUUGGAGAACAAACAGACCUGGGUCCAAAUCCUGGUUGGAUCUGCUAUGAAGACCUUGGGUGAGUUAUGGAAUCACUCUGAAGUUUGGGCUUCUCACUAAUAAAAUGGGUAUAAAUAACACUAUCUAUCUGAUAGGGUUGUU